AACGCACGAGACCUGCGGACCUGCGGAAGGAUCAUUAGUGAACGCCCUCACGGGCUUAUAACUAUUCCAAACCUCUGUGAGCCGUGCCCUUCGGGGCUAUUUUACAAACAUGGUGUAAUGAACGUCAUAUAUCAUAACAAAACAAAACUUUUAACAAUGGAUCUCU
This 166-nucleotide unclassified non-coding RNA is filed under the name soil metagenome. RNAcentral's name for it is "partial contains 5.8S ribosomal RNA, internal transcribed spacer 2, and large subunit ribosomal RNA". The record is from RNAcentral.